AUGCAAGUCGAACGAAGUAGCAAUACUUAGUGGCAGACGGGUGAGUAACAUGUAGGUAUCUGCCCUUUGGCCUGGAAUAACACGAGGAAACUUGUGCUAAUACCGGAUAAGUCUUUACGGAGAAAGCUUUAUGCACCAUUGGAUGAGCCUGCACUUGAUUAGUUUGUUGGUGGGGUAAUGGCCUACCAAGACUGUGAUCAAUAGCUGAUUUGAGAGGAUGAUCAGCCACAUUGGGACUGAGACACGGCCCAAACUCCUACGGGAGGCAGCAGUGGGGAAUCUUGCACAAUGGAGGAAACUCUGAUGCAGCGAUGCCGCGUGAGUGAAGAAGGCCCUUGGGUUGUAAAGCUCUUUCGUCGGGGAAGAAAAUGACUGUACCCGAAUAAGAAGGUCCGGCUAACUUCGUGCCAGCAGCCGCGGUAAUACGAAGGGACCUAGCGUAGUUCGGAAUUACUGGGCUUAAAGAGUUCGUAGGUGGUUGAAAAAGUUAGUGGUGAAAUCCCAGAGCUUAACUCUGGAACUGCCAUUAAAACUUUUCAGCUAGAGUAUGAUAGAGGAAAGCAGAAUUUCUAGUGUAGAGGUGAAAUUCGUAGAUAUUAGAAAGAAUACCAAUUGCGAAGGCAGCUUUCUGGAUCAUUACUGACACUGAGGAACGAAAGCAUGGGUAGCGAAGAGGAUUAGAUACCCUCGUAGUCCAUGCCGUAAACGAUGUGUGUUAGACGUUGGAAAUUUAUUUUCAGUGUCGCAGCGAAAGCGAUAAACACACCGCCUGGGGAGUUCGACCGCAAGGUUAAAACU
This 798-nucleotide ribosomal RNA is filed under the name uncultured marine bacterium. Its description in RNAcentral is "bacterial SSU rRNA". It matches the Rfam family "Bacterial small subunit ribosomal RNA", at positions 55 to 901 of the family's 1533-position model. The record is from RNAcentral.